GCACGUGUUGCUGCUCGCGAAGCUGCGUGCGGCAGACCAGAUCGAUUUCUCGCGAGCCGCUGUCGACUCUUCAUCGAUUCGUGCUGUUGGGGCGGGCCAAAAACUGGGCCAAACCCCACUGAUCGCGCACGACCCGGUUCCAAGCACCAUAUCGUCACCGACGCCAACGGCACGCCGCUCGCCGCGAUCCUGACUGGCGCCAACGUCCACGACGUCACGCAAUUGCUGCCGCUGAUCGACGCGAUUCCGCCGAUUCGCGGAUUGCGUGGCCACCCACUGCAGAGACCGCGCGUUGUCUACGCCGAUCGCGGUUACGACUCCGAGCGACAUCGAAGAGCAUUGCGCAAUCGCGGUAUCGAGCCAGUGAUUGCCAGGCGCCGUACCGAACACGGCAGCGGCCUUGGCAAACAUCGCUGGGUCGUUGAACGCACGCAUGCCUGGUUGCAUCACUUCCGUCGACUCCGUAUUCGCUUCGAGCGUCGUGCCGACAUUCACGGCGCGUUCCUCAAACUCGGUUGCUGCCUGAUUUGCUGGAACACUCUUCAGCGCACCGAACAGCCUUUAUGAAACAGUCUCUUAGUAACGUAGCUAACGCGUGAAGUUGACCGCCUGGGGAGUACGGUCGCAAGAUUAAAACUCAAAGGAAUUGACGGGGACCCGCACAAGCGGUGGAUGAUGUGGAUUAAUUCGAUGCAACGCGAAAAACCUUACCUACCCUUGACAUGGUCGGAAUCCUGCCGAGAGGCGGGAGUGCUCGAAAGAGAACCGGCGCACAGGUGCUGCAUGGCUGUCGUCAGCUCGUGUCGUGAGAUGUUGGGUUAAGUCCCGCAACGAGCGCAACCCUUGUCCUUAGUUGCUACGCAAGAGCACUCUAAGGAGACUGCCGGUGACAAACCGGAGGAAGGUGGGGAUGACGUCAAGUCCUCAUGGCCCUUAUGGGUAGGGCUUCACACGUCAUACAAUGGUCGGAACAGAGGGUUGCCAACCCGCGAGGGGGAGCUAAUCCCAGAAAACCGAUCGUAGUCCGGAUUGCACUCUGCAACUCGAGUGCAUGAAGCUGGAAUCGCUAGUAAUCGCGGAUCAGCAUGCCGCGGUGAAUACGUUCCCGGGUCUUGUACACACCGCCCGUCACACCAUGGGAGUGGGUUUUACCAGAAGUGGCUAGUCUAACCGCAAGGAGGACGGUCACCACGGUAGGAUUCAUGACUGGGGUGAAGUCGUAACAAGGUAGCCGUAUCGGAAGGUGCGGCUG
This 1252-nucleotide ribosomal RNA is filed under the name Burkholderia cenocepacia. Its description in RNAcentral is "bacterial SSU rRNA". The stretch from base 611 to 1252 matches the Rfam family "Bacterial small subunit ribosomal RNA", at positions 874 to 1520 of the family's 1533-position model. The record is from RNAcentral. Lineage: Bacteria; Pseudomonadati; Pseudomonadota; Betaproteobacteria; Burkholderiales; Burkholderiaceae.